GGAGAAAAGGCCUUUACAAGCCUCUGCUAAUGUGUACCUAGUUUAUACUAAGUGACCCAUAGGUUGAGGAGGAGGAUGAGGUAGCCAACACUGUUUUAUAUAUAUAUAUAUAUAUAUAUAUUUAUAUAUAUAUAUAUAUAUAUAUAUUUUAAUUGGGGUGGCCCACAAAACAUUGGGACAUAUAAAAAAGACAACUCUGUUCCGCAGAGUAGCUGUUGACAUUAUAGUUGCGCAGGCACUUUGUUGACUCUAGAGAACCUCGGGGCAAUCGCACAUCCCCGUGGCGGCGACUUUGCAUGCAGAUAUCAUCCAUAUCAACUUUCGAUGCCAGUUUCUGCGCCUACCAUGGUGACCACAGGUAAUGGGGAAUCAGGGUUCCAUUCCGUACAGGGACCCUGAGAAACGGCAAGGAAGGCAGCAGGCGCGCAAAUGACCCACUCCCGACGCGGGAAGGUAAUGAC
RNAcentral lists this ribosomal RNA (461 nucleotides) under Pelobates cultripes (western spadefoot toad). It matches the Rfam family "Eukaryotic small subunit ribosomal RNA", at positions 60 to 471 of the family's 1831-position model. Lineage: Eukaryota; Metazoa; Chordata; Amphibia; Anura; Pelobatidae. The record is from RNAcentral.